RNAcentral lists this long non-coding RNA (1573 nucleotides) under Nicotiana benthamiana. RNAcentral describes it as "long non-coding RNA (NBEN_LNC032548)". Lineage: Eukaryota; Viridiplantae; Streptophyta; Magnoliopsida; Solanales; Solanaceae. The record is from RNAcentral.
UGAAAUUUUGAAUGAUAAUUGGUCCCCAAAGAUUGAGGCUCAAGGUGAUCUAAGCUUUCUUCCCAUUCCACCUUAACUUGUUUAAUCUUGCUUUCUUUUGCUUGACACAAACAUUUUGCCCUGUCUGUCGUAAUUUCCACUUUCAUCUUUCACUUUCUCGUUUUACAUAAUAUGAAAUGCUAGUCCUGAAGAUGAUUAUUUGUUUGGGGGAGUGAAUUUUGCUGGUAUGAUGCUAGUGACUGUCCAUUACAACUGGAAGCAAUAUUAAGAUGAAAAUACAUUAUGCUUUGCUCUUUUUUCUUUUGGAGUUUAGAACAUUUCCUAUUGAGAAAUAUUUUAUUUUUUGUUCUCAUUUGGAUGUAUAAUAUUUUUCUCUCUUUUCCUGUUUAUUUUUUCAGUUUUAGAUCUUCCAAGUGAUGGAGAGCUGGCGUUGAAAUAAUGGAUCAAAGUUUAACCUCGUCAGAAUGAUGUAAACCUUUUUUGGACACAUUAGAUGAUGUUAAACCUUACAACCUAAGUGAUUAUAACCGGCUAUCCUUGUGCAUUGCGAGUUCAUUUUCGUGUAUUGGUACUAUUUAAUUCAACCCCAGACCCCACCUGGUGGGAAUAUACUGGGUAGUUGUUGUUGUUGUUGUUGUUGUUGUUGUUGUUGUUGUUGUUGUACUAUUUAAUUCAACAGCCCUAAAUUUUUUCGAUAUGUGGAAAAAUUAGAAGACCAAGACAAGAAAUCAUUCAUCUUUUAGGGUGUGUUUGGUAUAAUGGAAAAUGUUUUCCGUGAAAAAUGUUUUCCGAGAAAAUGUUUUCUUGGAAAACAAGUAGUAAUCUUAUUCAUUUUACGGUGUUUGGUAUGCAAAUUGAGGAAAGUAACUUCUCAAAAGUAUUCAUAAAUAAUGUAGAUACAAUAAACAUGAAGCCAUAAACUUUCGAACCAACAACCUUCCGAACCCACAAGAAAAAAAACUUUCUGGAGUGGUGAUAGAAAAAAAACUGAAAUUUGGAAAAAAAACCCUUUUGGAGAAAGGUGGUGGGGCGGGGAAGGUUGUGAAGGAGUUUUGGAAAACAUUUUCCCUUCUCUUGGAGGAAAUGAGUUCAUAAGGAAAAUGUUUUCCAAAAUAUUUAAGCCAACCAAACAUGGGAAAGUUGGAAAAUAUUUUCUGGAAAAUGUUUUCAAUCAUUCCAAACACACCCUUAUUGUUGAAAAGAGUUUACUGGCUGCUGUUGGGGAGUGUUUUCUUAUUGAAGUCUUUAGUGGAAGUUGAUGAUUAGCUUCAGUGUGAUGACUAUUUUUAUUCAUUUAGAUGAGGCUGCUUCCGUUGGAUUGAAUUGAGUAUCUCUAAUCUAAACAAGGAAAUGGAUAAAAUGUGGAUUAUGAAGAGAAUCGAGACGAAACAGCAUCCCAUGGGGCGGCCAUAGCUUGAACCUUCCUUCUCGCAGUCAGCUAUAUAACUCAGGCAGCAAAGGUUCGAGCAGGAUGGCGGUUAGUCUUCCUCGUCUCUUUCGGGUGGGCGGCGGGAAUAGCUCUUCUAGCAUCAGCAUGGAUUGACCAGAGACUGGGAGUAGUCGUCAUCUUUUU